AGCGAACGCUGGCGGCAGGCCUAACACAUGCAAGUCGAACGGCAGCGCGGGGCAACCUGGCGGCGAGUGGCGAACGGGUGAGUAAUAUAUCGGAACGUACCCAGAAGUGGGGGAUAACGUAGCGAAAGUUACGCUAAUACCGCAUACGAUCUACGGAUGAAAGUGGGGGACCUUCGGGCCUCAUGCUUUUGGAGCGGCCGAUAUCUGAUUAGCUAGUUGGUGAGGUAAAGGCUCACCAA
This 239-nucleotide ribosomal RNA is filed under the name uncultured bacterium. RNAcentral's name for it is "partial 16S ribosomal RNA". It matches the Rfam family "Bacterial small subunit ribosomal RNA", at positions 29 to 271 of the family's 1533-position model. The record is from RNAcentral.